RNAcentral lists this ribosomal RNA (484 nucleotides) under uncultured bacterium. Its description in RNAcentral is "partial 16S ribosomal RNA". It matches the Rfam family "Bacterial small subunit ribosomal RNA", at positions 28 to 507 of the family's 1533-position model. The record is from RNAcentral.
GAUGAACGCUGGCGGCGUGCCUAAUACAUGCCAGUCGAGCGAAUGAAGGAAGAGUUCGCCUGGAUUAAGCUAGCGGCGGAUGGGUGAGUAAUAGGAGGAUACCUUACAUAUAAGAAUGACAUCACUUCGGGAAAGCGGAGACCGCAUACGUUCAUAGUUAGAACGGGAUGGAUCAUCAGAGAUCGCGCGAUCUGAUGUGACUAGGUCGUAUUAGCUAGUUGGUGGGGUAACGGCUUACCAAGGCGACGAUCCGUAACUGGCCUGAGAGGAUGAUCAGACACACUGGAACUGAGACACGGUCCAGACUCCUACGGGAGGCAGCAGUGGGGAAUCUUCGACAAUGGGCGAAAGCCUGAUGCAGCAACGCCGCGUGAGUGAUGAAGGUCUUCGGAUCGUAAAGCACUUUAAGUUGGGAGGAAGGGAAGUAUGUUAAUAUAUUCAUGUUUUGACGGUACCUACAGAGUAAGCCACGGCUAACUACGUG